Molecule: unclassified non-coding RNA, 433 nt
Filed under: soil metagenome
Description: partial contains 5.8S ribosomal RNA, internal transcribed spacer 2, and large subunit ribosomal RNA
Rfam family: 5.8S ribosomal RNA (bases 1-120)
Source: RNAcentral
GAUGAAGAACGUAGUGAAAUGCGAUACGUAAUGUGAAUUGCAGAAUUCAGUGAAUCAUCGAAUCUUUGAACGCAUAUUGCACUCUCUGGUAUUCCGGAGAGCAUGCUUGUUUGAGUAUCAGUAAACACCUCAACUUCCAUAUCUUUUUUGAAAUGGGAGUUGGACUUGAGUGAUCCCAACGCUUUUCCUCACCGAAAAGUGGCGGGUUACUUGAAAUGCAGGUGCAGCUGGACUUUUCUCUGAGCUAUAAGCAUAUCUAUUUAGUCUGCCUAAAAAACAGAUUAUUACCUUUGCUGCAGCUAACAUAAAGGAGAUUAGUUCUUGUGCUGACUGAUGCAGGAUUCACAAAGACAGGCUUCGGCCGACUUUGUAAACUCGAUCUCAAAUCAAGUAAGACUACCCGCUGAACUUAAGCAUAUCAAUAAGCGGAGGA